RNAcentral lists this small RNA (86 nucleotides) under Pseudomonas fulva. RNAcentral's name for it is "isrK". Lineage: Bacteria; Pseudomonadati; Pseudomonadota; Gammaproteobacteria; Pseudomonadales; Pseudomonadaceae. The record is from RNAcentral.
GUCGCUGUAAAUCCAGCGACCGGGUUUGACGGCCCGAGCAAAUCAAGGCGCAACAGCGCCCAAGACCCAUUGCAGGCGCUUUUUUU